GUUCCUGGCUCAGGAUGAACGCUAGCUACAGGCUUAACACAUGCAAGUCGAGGGGCAGCGGGAAGUCAGCUUGCUGACUUUGCCGGCGACCGGCGCACGGGUGAGUAACACGUAUCCAACCUUCCCGUUACUCUGGAAUAGCCUUUCGAAAGAAAGAUUAAUACCGGAUAGUAUCGAGAGAUUGCAUGAUAACCCGAUUAAAGAUUCAUCGGUAACGGAUGGGGAUGCGUUCCAUUAGGCAGUUGGCGGGG
RNAcentral lists this ribosomal RNA (251 nucleotides) under uncultured bacterium. RNAcentral's name for it is "partial 16S ribosomal RNA". It matches the Rfam family "Bacterial small subunit ribosomal RNA", at positions 15 to 257 of the family's 1533-position model. The record is from RNAcentral.